RNAcentral lists this ribosomal RNA (565 nucleotides) under uncultured bacterium. Its description in RNAcentral is "bacterial SSU rRNA". The stretch from base 115 to 565 matches the Rfam family "Bacterial small subunit ribosomal RNA", at positions 39 to 507 of the family's 1533-position model. The record is from RNAcentral.
ACUACGGUUACGUUCCGUUCCGGUUCGGGUAAGGUUUGGUAGUCCGUUCGGCGUACCGAAGGAACGGAACGGACCGUGGUCGGGGCCGGUGGCCGUAACCAACCAUAGCGAAGUACGGAGCGGGGUUGGUAAGACGAGGGGUAACGUACGAGUUUCGUUACCUAGCGGCGGACGGGUGGAGGUAACGCGUGGGCAACCUGCCUCAAGGACUGGGAUAACAGCUCGAAAGGGCUGCUAAUACCGGAUAAGCCUAUGGCCUCGCAUGGGGCCAUGAGCAAAGGGGAAACCCGCCUUGAGAUGGGCCCGCGUCCCAUCAGCUAGUUGGUGAGGUGAAGGCUCACCAAGGCGACGACGGGUAGCCGGCCUGAGAGGGUGACCGGCCACACUGGGACUGAGACACGGCCCAGACUCCUACGGGGGGCAGCAGUGGGGAAUCUUGCACAAUGGGCGAAAGCCUGAUGCAGCGACGCCGCGUGAGCGAAGAAGGCCUUCGGGUUGUAAAGCUCUGUCUGGAGGGACGAAGGAAGUGACGGUACCUCCGGAGGAAGCCACGGCUAACUACGUG